This 449-nucleotide ribosomal RNA is filed under the name uncultured prokaryote. Its description in RNAcentral is "bacterial SSU rRNA". It matches the Rfam family "Bacterial small subunit ribosomal RNA", at positions 355 to 796 of the family's 1533-position model. The record is from RNAcentral.
UGGGGAAUAUUGCACAAUGGGCGCAAGCCUGAUGCAGCCAUGCCGCGUGUGUGAAGAAGGCCUGCGGGUUGUAAAGCACUUUCAGUAGGGAAGAAAAGCUCAUGGUUAAUACCCGUGAGUCUUGACGUAACCUACAGAAGAAGCACCGGCUAACUCCGUGCCAGCAGCCGCGGUAAUACGGAGGGUGCGAGCGUUAAUCGGAAUUACUGGGCGUAAAGCGCGCGUAGGUGGUUUUGUAAGUCGGAUGUGAAAGCCCAGGGCUUAACCUUGGAACUGCAUUCGAUACUGCUUAACUAGAGUAUGGUAGAGGGAAGUGGAAUUUCCGGUGUAGCGGUGAAAUGCGUAGAUAUCGGAAGGAACACCAGUGGCGAAGGCGACUUCCUGGGCCAAUACUGACACUGAGGUGCGAAAGCGUGGGGAGCAAACAGGAUUAGAUACCCGUGUAGUCC